GCUUACGGCCAUACCAACCUGGCUAUGCCCGAUCUCGUCUGAUCUCGGAAGCUAAGCAGGUUUGGGCCUGGUUAGUACUUGGAUGGGAGACUGCCUAGGAAUACCAGGUGCUUUAAGGU
Ribosomal RNA from Carassius auratus (goldfish), 119 nucleotides. The record is from Ensembl. NCBI's taxonomy places the organism in Eukaryota, Metazoa, Chordata, Actinopteri, Cypriniformes, Cyprinidae.